CGUUUCUGCGUAUAACCUGUAUAAAUCACACUUUCUGGGCCCUCCAGGUGUGUUUGCAGCUCAUGGGAAGCACCCACACACGUUUGCACCGGGACUCGAGGGGAGCACCGUAGGAAAUGUGACCCACGGCUGCACCUCGGGAUGGGGCACAUCGAGGGCUUCAAUGGACCGGUGCUGCCGGCUCCGUGCCUGCUGCUACGCCAGGCUGGCGGCACGGCGCUGCCGCGUGGGACCCGUCCAGCCCUUCUCUGUGCCCCGGGCAGGAGUGCCCACCUGCAGUGAGUCCCCGCUGUUCCUUCAGGAUCCCUCUUUCCAUCCCUUUUCCCUCUUCCAGCGCCCUUUCCCGGGGCAGCACUCGGGGAUCUGCCUUAAAGGAAGGCUCAGAUGCGCUUCCCUCUGUUGUCCGCAGGGACCGGGACCUGGUGCCAGAGGGGCGCAUGCCGGUGCGAGCGGGCAGCCCUGCUCUGCCGCAUGCGCCGCCGGUGGCAGCUCCGGCGCCGCGCCAAGUGCCGGGGGCAAGGCGGGCGGUGUUGAAGCCAAAGGGCUCCUUGCAUUAAGCCACGUCCAGGCUGAUGAGCAAAGGGACGGUGCAGCAGCGAGUCCCAGCCCCGCUGGGUCUCCUCCGUGGGGCUUCGACGCGAGGACAACCACCCUCUGGUGCACUUGCAUCAAUGCACACUGAGUCCGAGCAGGGAGAGCAGCUCAGAUGCGGUGCCUCAGCACAGAACAAGGGAGGGAUGGACACCCGCUCCUCGCCGCUGCGAAGGGCGAGCUGGAAGCCGGCACACGUUUUCCCUUGGCUCCUGUGCAGCCUCUCAGCCCCCUCUGCUUUUCGCUUCACCGCACGUUCUCUUCUGUUGCUCCCAAAUAAAACCAGAGAGCACAAAACCCCA
This 893-nucleotide long non-coding RNA is filed under the name Amazona collaria (yellow-billed parrot). Its description in RNAcentral is "lncRNA (ENSACOG00000010288.1)". The record is from RNAcentral. Lineage: Eukaryota; Metazoa; Chordata; Aves; Psittaciformes; Psittacidae.